GCCGCAUGAUGCCAUGUAGAUUGCAUGAGCAUUUUUGUGCCGAGAUGACCUCCUAUCUAUCACCCAAGACUGAUGGCU
Molecule: small nucleolar RNA, 78 nt
Organism: Neoarius graeffei (lesser salmon catfish)
Lineage: Eukaryota; Metazoa; Chordata; Actinopteri; Siluriformes; Ariidae
Product: small nucleolar RNA SNORD83
Exons: 1
Source: RefSeq, a predicted model, not a curated record